UUCACACUGUCAAGAAAAGCUUCUAUCGAGUUUAAAGGCGCCCGUACCGUAAACCGACACAGGUGGGUGAGGAGAGUAUCCUAAGGCCAGCGAGAGAACUAUUGUUAAGGAACUCGGCAAAAUGACCCCGUAACUUAGGGAGAAGGGGUGCCUGUCUAUGACAGGCCGCAGAGAAUAGGCCCAAGCGACUGUUUACCAAAAACAGGUUUCUGCCAAGUCGCAAGACGAUGUAUAGGAGCUGACGCCUGCCCGGUGCUGGAAGGUUAAGGGGAUCUGUUAGAGUAAUCGAAGCAGUGAACUUAAGCCCCAGUAAACGGCGGCCGUAAUUAUAACGGUCCUAAGGUAGCGAAAUUCCUUGUCGGGUAAGUUCCGACCCGCACGAAAGGCGUAACGAUUUGGGCACUGUCUCAACAAUAGACUCGGUGAAAUUGUAAUCCCGGUGAAGAUGCCGGGUACCUGCGACAGGACGGAAAGACCCCAUGGAGCUUUACUGUAGCUUGACGUUGGGUCUUGGUACUACAUGUACAGGAUAGGUGGGAGACUAUGAAGCAUGGACGCCAGUCUGUGUGGAGUCAUCCUUGGGAUACCACCCUUGUAGUACUGAGAUCCUAACCAUAGGCCUUGAAUCAGGUCUUGGAACACCGUCAGGUGGGCAGUUUGACUGGGGCGGUCGCCUCCUAAAAAGUAACGGAGGCGCUCAAAGGUUUCCUCAGCACGGUCGGAAAUCGUGCGAAGAGUGUAAAGGCAAAAGGAAGCUUGAUUGCAAGACAUACAGGUCGAGCAAGGACGAAAGUCGGACUUAGUGAUCCGGUGGUACCGCAUGGAAGGGCCAUCGCUCAACGGAUAAAAGCUACCCUGGGGAUAACAGGCUUAUCUCCCCCAAGAGUCCACAUCGACGGGGAGGUUUGGCACCUCGAUGUCGGCUCAUCACAUCCUGGGGCUGUAGUAGGUCCCAAGGGUUGGGCUGUUCGCCCAUUAAAGUGGUACGCGAGCUGGGUUCAGAACGUCGUGAGACAGUUCGGUCCCUAUCCGUCGCAGGCGUAGGAAAUUUGAGAAGACCUGUCCUUAGUACGAGAGGACCGGGAUGGACGUACCUCUGGUGUACCAGUUGUUCUGCCAAGGGCAUGGCUGGGUAGCUAUGUACGGAAUGGAUAAGCGCUGAAAGCAUCUAAGCGCGAAGCCAACUUCAAGAUAAGAUUUCCCACCGUAAGGGUAAGACCCCAGGAAGACUACCUGGUUGAUAGGUCGAAGGUGUAAGUGCAGUAAUGUAUUUAGCUUAUCGAUACUAAUAGGUCGAGGACUUGACCU
RNAcentral lists this ribosomal RNA (1308 nucleotides) under metagenome. RNAcentral's name for it is "bacterial LSU rRNA". It matches the Rfam family "Bacterial large subunit ribosomal RNA", at positions 1599 to 2925 of the family's 2925-position model. The record is from RNAcentral.